GGGCCCGUUGCCCAGCCAGGAUAGGGCGCAGACCUCCUAAGUCUGAGGUCGUGGGUUCGAAUCCCACCGGGCCCG
This 75-nucleotide transfer RNA is filed under the name Candidatus Bathyarchaeota archaeon. RNAcentral's name for it is "tRNA-Arg". It matches the Rfam family "tRNA". Rfam says of the family: Transfer RNA (tRNA) molecules are approximately 80 nucleotides in length. RNAcentral also lists the same sequence under 1 other name. The record is from RNAcentral. Lineage: Archaea; Thermoproteati; Candidatus Bathyarchaeota.